UCACCCACCAAUAGGGAA
RNAcentral lists this small nuclear RNA (18 nucleotides) under Arabidopsis thaliana (thale cress). Its description in RNAcentral is "snRNA_17331". Lineage: Eukaryota; Viridiplantae; Streptophyta; Magnoliopsida; Brassicales; Brassicaceae. The record is from RNAcentral.